AAUGGGGGAAACCCUGACGCAGCGAUGCCGCGUGAAGGAUGAAGGCUUUCGGGUCGUAAACUUCUUUUAUAUGGGAACAAUAAAUGAGGGUACCAUAUGAAUAAGGGCCUGCUAACUACGUGCCAGAAGCAUCGGUGAUACGUAGGGCCCGAGCGUUACCCGGAAUUACUGGGCGUAAAGAGAGCGUAGGCGUUCUAGUUAGUCUUGAGUUAAAUCCUGUGGCUCAACCGCAGACAGGCUUAGGAAACUACUAGAAUAGAGGCAAGAAGGGGCAGAUGGAAUUCCUAGUGGAGCGGUGAUAUGCGUUGAUAUUAGGAAGAACACCAAUGGCGAGGGCAGUCUGCUGGUCUUGAUCUGACGCUGAGGCUCGAAAGCGUGGGUAGCAAAACGGAUU
This 394-nucleotide ribosomal RNA is filed under the name uncultured Gammaproteobacteria bacterium. RNAcentral's name for it is "bacterial SSU rRNA". It matches the Rfam family "Bacterial small subunit ribosomal RNA", at positions 370 to 779 of the family's 1533-position model. Lineage: Bacteria; Pseudomonadati; Pseudomonadota; Gammaproteobacteria. The record is from RNAcentral.